GACGAACCGUGCGAACGUUGUUCGGAAUCACUGGGCGUAAAGCGCACGUAGGCGGCUUCUUAAGUCAGGGGUGAAAUCCUGGAGCUCAACUCCAGAACUGCCUUUGAUACUGAGAGGCUUGAGUCCGGGAGAGGUGAGUGGAACUGCGAGUGUAGAGGUGAAAUUCGUAGAUAUUCGCAAGAACACCAGUGGCGAAGGCGGCUCACUGGCCCGGUACUGACGCUGAGGUGCGAAAGCGUGGGGAGCAAACAGG
RNAcentral lists this ribosomal RNA (253 nucleotides) under uncultured bacterium. Its description in RNAcentral is "partial 16S ribosomal RNA". It matches the Rfam family "Bacterial small subunit ribosomal RNA", at positions 524 to 776 of the family's 1533-position model. The record is from RNAcentral.